RNAcentral lists this transfer RNA (76 nucleotides) under Renibacterium salmoninarum ATCC 33209. RNAcentral's name for it is "tRNA-Ala (GGC) (tRNA-Ala-GGC-1-1)". It matches the Rfam family "tRNA". Rfam says of the family: Transfer RNA (tRNA) molecules are approximately 80 nucleotides in length. Their secondary structure includes four short double-helical elements and three loops (D, anti-codon, and T loops). Lineage: Bacteria; Bacillati; Actinomycetota; Actinomycetes; Micrococcales; Micrococcaceae. The record is from RNAcentral. RNAcentral also lists the same sequence under 1 other name.
GGGGGUAUGGCGCAGCUGGUAGCGCACUUGCAUGGCAUGCAAGGGGUCAGGGGUUCGAAUCCCCUUACCUCCACCA